CACAUGCAAGUCGAACGGAAAGGCCCUGCUUGCAGGAUACUCGAGUGGCGAACGGGUGAGUAACACGUGGGUGAUCUGCCCUGCACUUCGGGAUAAGCUUGGGAAACUGGGUCUAAUACCGGAUAGGAACCAUCUUUAGUGUGGUGGUUGGAAAGUUUUUUCGGUGUAGGAUGAGCUCGCGGCCUAUCAGCUUGUUGGUGGGGUAAUGGCCUACCAAGGCGGCGACGGGUAGCCGGCCUGAGAGGGUGUACGGCCACAUUGGGACUGAGAUACGGCCCAGACUCCUACGGGAGGCAGCAGUGGGGAAUAUUGCACAAUGGGCGCAAGCCUGAUGCAGCGACGCCGCGUGGGGGAUGAAGGCCUUCGGGUUGUAAACUCCUUUCGCUAGGGACGAAGCUUUUUGUGACGGUACCUAGAUAAGAAGCACCGGCUAACUACGUGCCAGCAGCCGCGGUAAUACGUAGGGUGCGAGCGUUGUCCGGAAUUACUGGGCGUAAAGGGCUCGUAGGUGGUUUGUCGCGUCGUCUGUGAAAUUCUGGGGCUUAACUCCGGGCGUGCAGGCGAUACGGGCAUAACUUGAGUGCUGUAGGGGUAACUGGAAUUCCUGGUGUAGCGGUGAAAUGCGCAGAUAUCAGGAGGAACACCGAUGGCGAAGGC
RNAcentral lists this ribosomal RNA (657 nucleotides) under uncultured Actinomycetales bacterium. RNAcentral describes it as "bacterial SSU rRNA". It matches the Rfam family "Bacterial small subunit ribosomal RNA", at positions 52 to 722 of the family's 1533-position model. Lineage: Bacteria; Bacillati; Actinomycetota; Actinomycetes; Actinomycetales. The record is from RNAcentral.